This 215-nucleotide long non-coding RNA is filed under the name Capsicum annuum. RNAcentral's name for it is "long non-coding RNA (CANN_LNC015457)". Lineage: Eukaryota; Viridiplantae; Streptophyta; Magnoliopsida; Solanales; Solanaceae. The record is from RNAcentral.
CUGAUUUUUGAUAGAAAUGAGACACUUUUACAAAAUCCUCUACCAUAGCCCACGAGUCGGAGAGAAGAUAUGGAUAUUGAGAUUGGGAUUGAGUAUUAAUAUAAUAUAUGGGUUGUGAAUCCCCAUGGGUCCUACAUAGAAGCAUAAAUGCUCAGUGAUAUAUAUGAAGGUUAUGCGAUAACCUCAGACACAUCACAUCUUUAUCAUUAUCAUCC